GAUGAACGCUGACAGAAUGCUUAACACAUGCAAGUCAACUUGAAUUUGGGUUUUUAACUUAGGUUUGGGUGGCGGACGGGUGAGUAACGCGUAAAGAACUUGCCUCACAGCUAGGGACAACAUUUGGAAACGAAUGCUAAUACCUAAUAUUAUGAUAAUAGGGCAUCCUAUAAUUAUGAAAGCUAUAAGCGCUGUGAGAGAGCUUUGCGUCCCAUUAGCUAGUUGGAGAGGUAACGGCUCACCAAGGCGAUGAUGGGUAGCCGGCCUGAGAGGGUGAUCGGCCACAAGGGGACUGAGACACGGCCCUUACUCCUACGGGAGGCAGCAGUGGGGAAUAUUGGACAAUGGACCGAGAGUCUGAUGCAGCAAUUCUGUGUGCACGAUGAAGUUUUUCGGAAUGUAAAGUGCUUUCAGUUGGGAAGAAACAAAUGACGGUACCAACAGAAGAAGUGACGGCUAAAUACGUG
Molecule: ribosomal RNA, 467 nt
Filed under: uncultured bacterium
Lineage: Bacteria
Description: partial 16S ribosomal RNA
Rfam family: Bacterial small subunit ribosomal RNA
Source: RNAcentral